CUGAGAGAUUGGGGGGUGGGGAGGGGAGCAGUCAGGCAGGGCAAGGGAGGGUUUCUCUCCUGGGGACACUGCAGAGGGGCCACUGAUCCCUGAGCAGAAGGCCUGAGGGGCGGGAUCGGCCCUAGCCCAGCGAGGGGAACUAUCAAACCACUUCAGAAAAGCAGCAACCAAAGGCCAGAGGUCCCAUCACUGGGUCAUGAAGGGACACUGGGGAGGGGAGAGGUGGACACCGCAGAACGGAGGACUGUCUGGCAUCUGGCCUAUGCUGGGGGCUGGGGACGCAGAGCGAGUCACUGCUCAGCUAGGCCCGGAAGAGGAACCCACAGCUACAGACGCCCAGGGACAGACGGGGAAAACAGUUUAAAGCACAGAGGUGAUGUUACCUUGUGAGAUCCAAGAUGGAUUCCAAGCUCCCGGUGGCCCCCUGAAAGGAUCACCCAACAGUUCUAAAGCCACAGCAUAGACACAUCUACCUUACUGUAAUUCCUCUCUACGCCCUCACCUCAACAUGGUUCCCAGGAGAGGAGGACGUCACAGUGGGCCGAGCUUUCAGCACCUUUCCUGUGGCCAGCACUAGCUCUGGCCACUGUGCAGGCAGGUGUCUGGGUCUGGCUCCGCCUUCAAAAAGCCCCAAGUGUAUCUGCGCAUUUUGAGGAGAUUGACAGGUGACCAAAAAUCUUUCAUUAGGAAAGCCUGGCCUCACAAGGAAGUAAGCCGUACU
Long non-coding RNA from Canis lupus familiaris (dog), 721 nucleotides. RefSeq lists it as uncharacterized. NCBI's taxonomy places the organism in Eukaryota, Metazoa, Chordata, Mammalia, Carnivora, Canidae. The record is from RefSeq and is a predicted model, not a curated record. The transcript is spliced from 3 exons.